RNAcentral lists this unclassified non-coding RNA (233 nucleotides) under plant metagenome. RNAcentral's name for it is "partial contains small subunit ribosomal RNA, internal transcribed spacer 1, and 5.8S ribosomal RNA". The record is from RNAcentral.
UUUCCGUAGGUGAACCUGCGGAAGGAUCAUUAUUGGAUUUUGAAACUUCAGGCUGCUGCUGGCUCUCCUCGGAGAGCAUGUGCACGCUUGUUGUCCAUUAUUUCUCCCACUGUGCACAAAUUGUAGACCUUUCAGUAGGCCUAUGUUGUUUUUCACAAUCUCUGAAUGUAAUAGAAUGGUUUUGAAUCUUGGGAAAUACAAUACAACUUUCAGCAACGGAUCUCUUGGCUCUC